UAGAGUUUGAUCCUGGCUCAGAUUGAACGCUGGCGGCAUGCCUUACACAUGCAAGUCGGACGGCAGCGCGGGAGCAAUCCUGGCGGCGAGUGGCGAACGGGUGAGUAAUACAUCGGAACAUGUCCAGUAGUGGGGGAUAGCCCGGCGAAAGCCGGAUUAAUACCGCAUACGAUCUAUGGAUGAAAGCGGGGGAUCGCAAGACCUCGCGCUAUUGGGGUGGCCGAUGGAGGAUUAGCUAGUUGGUGGGGUAAAGGCCUACCAAGGCGACGAUCCGUAGCUGGCCUGAGAGGACGACCAGCCACACUGGGACUGAGACACGGCCCAGACUCCUACGGGAGGCAGCAGUGGGGAAUUUUGGACAAUGGGGGCAACCCUGAUCCAGCAAUGCCGCGUGUGUGAAGAAGGCCUUCGGGUUGUAAAGCACUUUUGUCCGGGAAGAAAUCCCCUGCCCUAAUACGGCGGGGGGAUGACGGUACCGGAAGAAUAAGCACCGGCUAACUACGUGCCAGCAGCCGCGGUA
RNAcentral lists this ribosomal RNA (520 nucleotides) under uncultured Burkholderia sp. RNAcentral describes it as "bacterial SSU rRNA". It matches the Rfam family "Bacterial small subunit ribosomal RNA", at positions 1 to 522 of the family's 1533-position model. Lineage: Bacteria; Pseudomonadati; Pseudomonadota; Betaproteobacteria; Burkholderiales; Burkholderiaceae. The record is from RNAcentral.